UGGGGAAUAUUGGACAAUGGGCGAAAGCCUGAUCCAGCCAUGCCGCGUGUGUGAAGAAGGUCUUCGGAUUGUAAAGCACUUUAAGUUGGGAGGAAGGGCAGUAAAUUAAUACUUUGCUGUUUUUGACGUUACCGACAGAAUAAGCACCGGCUAACUCUGUGCCAGCAGCCGCGGUAAUACAGAGGGUGCAAGCGUUAAUCGGAAUUACUGGGCGUAAAGCGCGCGUAGGUGGUUCGUUAAGUUGGAUGUGAAAUCCCCGGGCUCAACCUGGGAACUGCAUUCAAAACUGACGAGCUAGAGUAUGGUAGAGGGUGGUGGAAUUUCCUGUGUAGCGGUGAAAUGCGUAGAUAUAGGAAGGAACACCAGUGGCGAAGGCGACCACCUGGACUGAUACUGACACUGAGGUGCGAAAGCGUGGGGGAGCAAA
RNAcentral lists this ribosomal RNA (427 nucleotides) under uncultured bacterium. RNAcentral's name for it is "partial 16S ribosomal RNA". It matches the Rfam family "Bacterial small subunit ribosomal RNA", at positions 355 to 772 of the family's 1533-position model. The record is from RNAcentral.